This is a non-coding RNA of Paramuricea clavata, 294 nucleotides long. NCBI's taxonomy places the organism in Eukaryota, Metazoa, Cnidaria, Anthozoa, Malacalcyonacea, Plexauridae. The record is from the annotation of a GenBank genome assembly.
CUACAAAACUAUUUGACUGAAGUUUUGGAAACAUUUAACUAAAUUUUGAAGGAUUGACUCGCAAACUGUGAUUCAGUUUCUGGAUAAGUUGUGACUCUGUUAGUGCCAUUUCUUUCAUUGUUUAUAUAUCUUGCUUUUAAUUCCUUAGGGCCUUUUUAUAUGAUCCCGCCUAGACGGUACAGAAUGUUUUCAUCCCACCAAGACAGGAUACUCGCCUAGUGUUUAUAUGGACAAAAUACAUUGCCAGGAUGAAACCAUUCGGUGCUUGACGUCAUAUUUUUGUUGCAAUAAAGG